Molecule: long non-coding RNA, 345 nt
Filed under: Musa acuminata (dwarf banana)
Lineage: Eukaryota; Viridiplantae; Streptophyta; Magnoliopsida; Zingiberales; Musaceae
Description: long non-coding RNA (MACU_LNC000612)
Source: RNAcentral
UUGGGGAUGGACGCGUUGAUUGGGAAGUGGGCGUAGACGAGGCGCAUCUUGUAACGGUACCCUUUGGUGACCCCGGCGAUGAGGUUCUGGACGUGGCUGAUGGCAGUGCGUAUGGCAGCUGUGGUCUUCCGCGACCCGAACCAUGCAUCCACCUUCAGCUUCUUCCCGCUCUCGAUGAGAUCGAAAUCGAGGUUGAGGUGCUUGAAGUCACGGGUGAGCUUGCCGCGCGGACCCUCCACCUCCACGAUCUUCGCGUUCACCUUCACCGUGACUCCCUCGGGGAUGUCCAUGGUCUGCGAGGAAAGGAUCGUCUUCAUCUCGCUGCUCUCUCUUUCCGCCGCCUCC